Non-coding RNA from Phrynosoma platyrhinos (Desert horned lizard), 70 nucleotides. Lineage: Eukaryota; Metazoa; Chordata; Lepidosauria; Squamata; Phrynosomatidae. The record is from the annotation of a GenBank genome assembly.
CCCAGCGUGGUGUAGUGGUUUGAGUGUUGGACUACGACUCUAGAGAUCCGGGUUCGAUUCCCACUUGGCC